Molecule: ribosomal RNA, 254 nt
Filed under: uncultured bacterium
Lineage: Bacteria
Description: partial 16S ribosomal RNA
Rfam family: Bacterial small subunit ribosomal RNA
Source: RNAcentral
UACGUAGGGUGCGAGCGUUAAUCGGAAUUACUGGGCGUAAAGCGUGCGCAGGCGGUUUUGUAAGCCAGAUGUGAAAUCCCCCGGGCUUAACCUGGGAAUGGCAUUUGGGACUGCAAGGCUUGAGUGCGGCAGAGGAGACUGGAAUUCCUGGUGUAGCAGUGAAAUGCGUAGAUAUCAGGAGGAACACCGAUGGCGAAGGCAGGUCUCUGGGCUGACACUGACGCUCAUGCACGAAAGCGUGGGGAGCAAACAGG